AUUGAACGCUGGCGGCAUGCUUUACACAUGCAAGUCGAACGGUAACAGGCCGCAAGGUGCUGACGAGUGGCGAACGGGUGAGUAAUGCAUCGGAACGUGCCCAGUCGUGGGGGAUAACUACUCGAAAGAGUAGCUAAUACCGCAUACGGUCUAUGGAUGAAAGCGGGGGACCGUAAGGCCUCGCGCGAUUGGAGCGGCCGAUGUCAGAUUAGGUAGUUGGUGGGGUAAAGGCUCACCAAGCCAACGAUCUGUAGCUGGUCUGAGAGGACAACCAGCCACACUGGGACUGAGACACGGCCCAGACUCCUUCGGGAGGCAGCAGUGGGGAAUUUUGGACAAUGGGCGCAAGCCUGAUCCAGCAAUGCCGCGUGCAGGAAGAAGGCCUUCGGGUUGUAAACUGCUUUUGUACGGAACGAAACGGCUCUGGUUAAUACCCGGGGCUAAUGACGGUACCGUAAGAAUAAGCACCGGCUAACUACGUG
This 482-nucleotide ribosomal RNA is filed under the name uncultured bacterium. RNAcentral's name for it is "partial 16S ribosomal RNA". It matches the Rfam family "Bacterial small subunit ribosomal RNA", at positions 30 to 507 of the family's 1533-position model. The record is from RNAcentral.